This 20-nucleotide small nuclear RNA is filed under the name Arabidopsis thaliana (thale cress). Its description in RNAcentral is "snRNA_03405". The record is from RNAcentral. Lineage: Eukaryota; Viridiplantae; Streptophyta; Magnoliopsida; Brassicales; Brassicaceae.
CUUAUUUCCGAGGGAGUAGU